GACGAACGCUGGCGGCGUGCUUAACACAUGCAAGUCGAACGGAAAGGCCCUGCUUGUGUGGGGUGCUCGAGUGGCGAACGUGUGUGUAACACGUGAGUAACCUGCCCUCGACGUUGGGAUAACUUCAGGAAACUGGGGCUAAUACCGGACAGGAGCUCCUGCUGCAUGGGGGGGGUUUGAAAGUUUCGGCGGUUGGGGAUGGACUCGCGGCGUAUCAGCUUGUUGGUGGGGUAGUGGAUUACCAAGGCUUUGACGGGUAGCCGGCCUGAGAGGGUGACCGGACACAUUGGGACUGGGAUGCGGCACAGACUCCUACGGGAGGCAGCAGUGGGGAAUAGUGCACAAUGGGCGGAAGCAUGAUGCAGCAACGCCGCGUGCGGGAUGACGGCCUUCGGGUUGUAAACCGCUUUCGCCUGUGACGAGGAGUGAGUGACGGUAAUGGGUAAAGAAGCACCGGCUAACUACGUG
This 468-nucleotide ribosomal RNA is filed under the name uncultured bacterium. RNAcentral's name for it is "partial 16S ribosomal RNA". It matches the Rfam family "Bacterial small subunit ribosomal RNA", at positions 28 to 507 of the family's 1533-position model. The record is from RNAcentral.